CCUACGGGUGGCAGCAGUCGAGAAUCAUUCACAAUGGGGGAAACCCUGAUGGUGCGACGCCGCGUGGGGGAAUGAAGGUCUUCGGAUUGUAAACCCCUGUCAUGUGGGAGCAAAUUAAAAAGAUAGUACCACAAGAGGAAGAGACGGCUAACUCUGUGCCAGCAGCCGCGGUAAUACAGCGGUCUCAAGCGUUGGUCGGAAUCACUGGGCGUAAAGCGUGCGUAGGCUGUUUCGUAAGUCGUGUGUGAAAGGCGCGGGCUCAACCCGCGGACGGCACAUGAUACUGCGAGACUUGAGUAAUGGAGGGGGAACCGGAAUUCUCGGUGUAGCAGUGAAAUGCGUAGAUAUCGAGAGGAACACUCGUGGCGAAGGCGGGUUACUGGACAUUAACUGACGCUGAGGCACGAAGGCCAGGGGAGCGAAAGGGAUUAGAUACCCCUGUAGUC
RNAcentral lists this ribosomal RNA (446 nucleotides) under uncultured bacterium. RNAcentral describes it as "partial 16S ribosomal RNA". It matches the Rfam family "Bacterial small subunit ribosomal RNA", at positions 338 to 795 of the family's 1533-position model. The record is from RNAcentral.